CGAACUUCUUACCCACGGACUCACACGCACCCACAUUGAUUCAUUCUCUUUGCAGUAUCUCUCUACAUAUUAUUAUUAUUAUUAUUUUUCAUUUCUCUCUCCUCAAAGCUUCAAUGCCAGGCGGGAACUCUACCUCCGGCGCCAGGACCGGCGUCAGAGUCGUCGUCGCAGGCGACCGUUUUACCGGGAAAUCCAGCUUGAUUGCGGCGGCCGCCACCGAGUCUUUUCCCGAGAACGUCCCUCGGGUGCUUCCUCCUACUCGCCUGCCCGCCGAUUUCUUCCCUGAUCGCGUCCCCGUCACCAUCAUCGACACUUCUUCCGGCUUGGAGAGUAGAGGCAAGCUCUUUGAAGAAUUGAAGCGAGCUGAUGUGGUGUUGUUAACUUAUGCUUGUGAUCAACCUCUGACAGUCAGUCGUUUAAGUAGUUUUUGGCUUGAGGAACUCCGGCGAUUAGAGGUCAAGGCACCGAUUAUUGUAGUUGGUUGUAAACUAGAUUUGCGAGAUGAUACUCAGCCCGUUAGCCUCGAGCAUCUCAUGGGGCCAAUCAUGCAGCGU
Molecule: unclassified non-coding RNA, 554 nt
Filed under: Hevea brasiliensis (rubber tree)
Lineage: Eukaryota; Viridiplantae; Streptophyta; Magnoliopsida; Malpighiales; Euphorbiaceae
Source: RNAcentral